Molecule: long non-coding RNA, 866 nt
Filed under: Homo sapiens (human)
Lineage: Eukaryota; Metazoa; Chordata; Mammalia; Primates; Hominidae
Description: HSALNT0063676
Source: RNAcentral
CUGCCUCAGGCGCCCAAGUAGCUGGGACUACAGGCGCCCGUCACCACGCCCGGCUAAUUUUUUGUAUUUUUAGUAGAGACGGGGUUUCACGGUGUUAGCCAGGAUGGUCUGGAUCUCCUGACCUCGUGAUCCGCCUCGGCCUCCCAAACUGCUGGGAUUACAGGCGUGAGCCACCACCCCCGGCCGCAGAAAUAUUUUAAUGCCAUUUUAGAAGGUGACUCAGAAGGUUGCUGGUUUUGAGAAGGCUCUACAGCAGGUGCAGGCUGUGGUCCAAGAGGACUUCAGCUUUUAGUAUAUUAUUGUUAUAACAUGCCUGAUAAUUUUGAGAGGUGAAGCCAGCUGGACUUCUUGGGUCGAGUGAGGACAUGGAGAACUUUUCUAUCUAAAGAUCUGAGGAGCUAUAAAAGAGACAUCAUACCAGACUCUACUCCAGAAUGGAAAUGUCCAAUGCCUAAUCAGAAGCCAGGGAGUAGGGUGAAUGCGAUAGAUAAGAGAUCAUCAUCCCAACCUGCAGCCCUCAUUACUGCUCGUUCUAUGGAGUAGUCAUUUUUUGUUUUUGUUGUUUCUUUACUUCUCUAAGAAACUUGCUUUUGCUUAAAAAAAAAUAAAAAUAAAGGAGAUAAGAGAACAUCCAAUAAAAGAAGGCAAAUGUUGUGUGCAUAGAGAUUACUAGGUUAAGGAAAGCAGGCCAACUAGCAUUAAACCAACCCAUACCUUUGUUCAACACUUAGAAUGAAAUCUAAAUUUAUUUCUCUGGCGUUGAAUAAGCCUAUGACAUCAACCUGAACUACUCUUCUGCUCACAGCAUUCCAGACACAUUGACUAUUUCAUGCAUCUUUGUCCUUAUUGCUAUACCUGGAAUUCUA